Molecule: ribosomal RNA, 933 nt
Filed under: Galerina sp.
Lineage: Eukaryota; Fungi; Basidiomycota; Agaricomycetes; Agaricales; Galerinaceae
Description: partial large subunit ribosomal RNA
Rfam family: Eukaryotic large subunit ribosomal RNA
Source: RNAcentral
AUAUCAAUAAGCGGAGGAAAAGAAACUAACAAGGAUUCCCCUAGUAACUGCGAGUGAAGCGGGAAAAGCUCAAAUUUAAAAGCUGGCAGCCUUUGGCUGUCCGCAUUGUAAUCUAGAGAAGUGUUACCCGCGCUGGACCGUGUACAAGUCUCCUGGAAUGGAGCGUCAUAGAGGGUGACAAUCCCGUCUUUGACACGGACUACCAGGGCUUUGUGGUGCGCUCUCAAAGAGUCGAGUUGUUUGGGAAUGCAGCUCAAAAUGGGUGGUAAAUUCCAUCUAAAGCUAAAUAUUGGCGAGAGACCGAUAGCGAACAAGUACCGUGAGGGAAAGAUGAAAAGAACUUUGGAAAGAGAGUUAAACAGUACGUGAAAUUGCUGAAAGGGAAACGCUUGAAGUCAGUCGCGUUGUCCGGGGAUCAACCUUGCUUUUGCUGGGCGUACUCUCCGGGCGACGGGCCAGCAUCAAUUUUGACCGCUGGAAAAAGGCUGAGGGAAUGUGGCAUCUUCGGAUGUGUUAUAGCCCUCGGUCAUAUACAGUGGUUGGGAUUGAGGAACUCAGCACGCCGCAAGGCCGGGUUUUUAACCACGUUCGUGCUUAGGAUGCUGGCAUAAUGGCUUUAAUCGACCCGUCUUGAAACACGGACCAAGGAGUCUAACAUGCCUGCGAGUGUUUGGGUGGUAAACCCGAGCGCGUAAUGAAAGUGAAAGUUGAGAUCCCUGUCGUGGGGAGCAUCGACGCCCGGACCAGACCUUUUGUGACGGAUCUGCGGUAGAGCAUGUAUGUUGGGACCCGAAAGAUGGUGAACUAUGCCUGAAUAGGGUGAAGCCAGAGGAAACUCUGGUGGAGGCUCGUAGCGAUUCUGACGUGCAAAUCGAUCGUCAAAUUUGGGUAUAGGGGCGAAAGACUAAUCGAACCAUCUAGUAGCUGGUCCUG